Molecule: unclassified non-coding RNA, 684 nt
Filed under: Hevea brasiliensis (rubber tree)
Lineage: Eukaryota; Viridiplantae; Streptophyta; Magnoliopsida; Malpighiales; Euphorbiaceae
Source: RNAcentral
AUGAAGAGCUAAGCAAUCCUGCAACAUAUAGGGUUUAUCCUCCGAUUCUUCUUCCAUUAAAACGUCAUUUAUGUACUUGAAGAAAGCGUGGGAGAAAUCGAAGGUUUCACUAUUGUAGGGAGAAUCACUAUUCGAGCUCGAUUCCAUAGAUGGAAUAUUGGCACUAGGAGAUUGCAGGUUGGCAGAAAUUGAUAGAGGGUUCAUGGAAGCAAGAUUGAAUUCAAACCCAUCAACAGAAUUAUGAUUUGAAGUAACUGCAAAUGAUCCGCACUCACACUCGUCUCCGUUCAUUGAAGCGGAGGAGCAAGUGGAGUACUAAUUGGAUAAAUAUACGAAAACGAGAAAAAGGACUAAAGAAUCAAGUGAAGGAAAAUUUCCAGAAACUGGAAGCCAGAUAUCUAUGGACGGUCACAAAUGAUACAAAAAAAUUGCCAUAAGAUGGUCAGAGUUACUGUAGCAACAGGGCGAGGAAUAUUCAAAUGCUACAAAAAUAUGAACAAAUAAGGUAAAAUCUGACAGGCGCAAUUAUCGGAAGUUCAGCUUCAUGGAAACCUCACAGACCCUUAGCAUCCGUUAAAUGGCAUUUGUGGGGCAAUAAUCCUGCGUCUCUCUCUAUGUAUUAAAGAUCAAGAAAUCUGUAGUGUGUCGGAGCCAAAUGGGAUUGGACAAGGCUAACGUCAAACU